UNGCUGUAUCGAGGCACGGAAGCCUUGA
This 28-nucleotide non-coding RNA is filed under the name Homo sapiens (human). The record is from RNAcentral. Lineage: Eukaryota; Metazoa; Chordata; Mammalia; Primates; Hominidae.